RNAcentral lists this ribosomal RNA (467 nucleotides) under uncultured ciliate. RNAcentral describes it as "SSU rRNA". It matches the Rfam family "Eukaryotic small subunit ribosomal RNA". Lineage: Eukaryota; Ciliophora. The record is from RNAcentral.
AUUUGUCUGGUUAAUUCCGAUAACGAACGAGACCUUAACCUGCUAACUAGUUCUCAAUACUCUGUAUUCUGCAACUUCUUAGAGGGACUAUGUAAAUCAAUUACAUUGAAGUUUGAGGCAAUAACAGGUCAGUGAUGCCCUUAUAUGUCCUGGGCUGCACGCGUGCUACACUGAUGCAUACAACAAGUGCCUAGCCAGACAUGGUAUGGCAAUCUCGAAUAUGCAUCGUGAUGGGGAUAGAUCUUUGCAAUUAUAGAUCUUGAACGAGGAAUUCCUAGUAAGUGCAAGUCAUCAUCUUGCAUUGAUUAUGUCCCUGCCCUUUGUACACACCGCCCGUCGCUCCUACCGAUACCGGGUGAUCCGGUGAACCUUUUGGACUCCGUACGGGGGAAGAUAAGUAAACCAUAUCACCUAGAGGAAGGAGAAGUCGUAACAAGGUUUCCGUAGGUGAACCUGCRGAAGGAUCA